GAUGAACGCUAGCGACAGGCCUAACACAUGCAAGUCGAGGGGCAGCACAAGGUAGCAAUACUGAGGUGGCGACCGGCGCACGGGUGAGUAACGCGUAUGCAACCUGCCUGUAACAGGGGAAUAGCCUCUUGAAAGAGAGAUUAAUGCCGCAUAAUACGAUAUUCGGGCAUCCGGGUAUUUUUAAACAUUUAUGGGUUACAGAUGGGCAUGCGUUUCAUUAGGUAGUUGGUGAGGUAACGGCUCACCAAGCCGACGAUGAAUAGGGGUUCUGAGAGGAAGGUCCCCCACACUGGUACUGAGACACGGACCAGACUCCUACGGGAGGCAGCAGUGAGGAAUAUUGGUCAAUGGACGCAAGUCUGAACCAGCCAAGUCGCGUGAAGGAUGAAGGUAUUAUGUAUUGUAAACUUCUUUUGUCAGGGAAUAAUGGGUGUCACGUGUGACGCAGAGGAAUGUACCUGACGAAUAAGCAUCGGCUAACUCCGUGCCAGCAGCCGCGGUAAUACGGAGGAUGCGAGCGUUAUCCGGAUUUAUUGGGUUUAAAGGGUGCGUAGGCGGUUUGUUAAGUCAGUGGUGAAAGUUUGCGGCUCAACCGUAAAAUUGCCAUUGAAACUGGCGAACUUGAGUACAGUAGAGGUAGGCGGAAUUCGUGGUGUAGCGGUGAAAUGCUUAGAUAUCACGAAGAACUCCGAUUG
Molecule: ribosomal RNA, 695 nt
Filed under: uncultured prokaryote
Description: bacterial SSU rRNA
Rfam family: Bacterial small subunit ribosomal RNA
Source: RNAcentral